CUCUGAUUGGCUAGUUUGUAAAUCAAGAUGGCGGGCGGCGGAGUGCUGCUACAUCGAUUCGGCGUGAUCAUCGUGCAUGAGGCAGGAGGCGAGGGGAAACACGCAUGACAGGCUCAUGACGAAGAUGAAUGUGACGUCACUGUGAGGGGUUCUGCAAGGGAGGGGAAAGAAAAAUAAGGGAAAACGGGAAGAAAGAAUACAGGGAACUCGAGGGAGAGGAAAGCAUGGGAAGUGAACCAGAGGGAGAGAGCGAGGGACCGAGGGAGAGGUAAACAGAGUUGCCAAAGAAAGUUAUUUUUGGUUAAUUUCUAUUUAUUUACCAUUUUCAUUAACAGAACUCCGAUGAUUCAGAGUCUAAUCAUCAUUUGGAUAUUUGUGUCUUACUAUUAGUGCUAAAUAUCCAAUGUUCAUCUGAAAGAGGUUAAAAUGAGAUGGAGAGAACCUGGGUGGAUUUUUGUACUUGACAUAAACUUAUUGCCUCUUCGUACGACCCGGGCGGAAGCAGUGAUUUAUUGAAAAAAAUAGCUCCUUCUCGCCUUUGACUGACACGGUGGCGACGUACGCGGGCAGAGCAGCACUAUUAAUGUUCUGGAAUGUAAUUAUUCAGUUUACAAUACUUUAUCAUUAUCGUAAUGUCCCUCGCCCGAAAAUAUUAUAUAAAAUACUUAUAUUGCUUGCUGAUUGUGUAAUUGGCUGUAUGUGUGAUUUUACUGAGCAGAAUUUGUAUCAUUUUGUACUAUUUUAUUCCUAUUCAAGGAACUUUGUUCAUAGCCCAGUUGAGCUUACUUACACCCAAUAUCUCCUGAUAAUUCUUAUUAAGUUGUAUAUAAUGUAUGCUUAUCUGAUUAAAAUUCUUUUUGGUC
Long non-coding RNA from Procambarus clarkii (red swamp crayfish), 863 nucleotides. RefSeq lists it as uncharacterized. NCBI's taxonomy places the organism in Eukaryota, Metazoa, Arthropoda, Malacostraca, Decapoda, Cambaridae. The record is from RefSeq and is a predicted model, not a curated record.